CGGUAAUACGGAGGAUCCAAGCGUUAUCCGGAAUCAUUGGGUUUAAAGGGUCCGUAGGCGGUCAAGUAAGUCAGUGGUGAAAGCCCAUCGCUCAACGGUGGAACGGCCAUUGAUGCUGCUUGACUUGAAUUAUUAGGAAGUAACUAGAAUAUGUAGUGUAGCGGUGAAAUGCUUAGAGAUUACAUGGAAUACCAAUUGCGAAGGCAGGUUACUACUAAUUGAUUGACGCUGAUGGACGAAAGCGUGGGUAGCGAACAGGAUUAGAUACCCUGGUAGUCCACGCCGUAAACGAUGGAUACUAGCUGUUGGGAGCAAACUCAGUGGCUAAGCGAAAGUGAUAAGUAUCCCACCUGGGGAGUACGUUCGCAAGAAUGAA
RNAcentral lists this ribosomal RNA (376 nucleotides) under uncultured bacterium. RNAcentral's name for it is "bacterial SSU rRNA". It matches the Rfam family "Bacterial small subunit ribosomal RNA", at positions 518 to 898 of the family's 1533-position model. The record is from RNAcentral.